UCCGACUUCACGUCGGCAGUCUCGUUAGAGUGCUCAGCUUUCCUGGUAGCAACUAACGACAAGGGUUGCGCUCGUUGCGAGACUUAACCCAACAUCUCACGACACGAGCUGACGACAGCCAUGCAGCACCUUCUCACCGGUUCCCCGAAGGGCACGCCACUAUUUCUAGCGGUUUCCGGUGGAUUUAACCCAGGUAAGGUUCUUCGCGUUGCGUCGAAUUAAACCACAUAAUCCACCGCUUGUGCGGGUCCCCGUCAAUUCCUUUGAGUUUUAACCUUGCGGCCGUACUCCCCAGGCGGUCGACUUCACGCGUUAGCUUCGUUACUGAGAGUGUCAAACCCCCAACAACCAGUCGACAUCGUUUAGGGCGUGGACUAC
RNAcentral lists this unclassified non-coding RNA (378 nucleotides) under uncultured Pseudomonadota bacterium. RNAcentral's name for it is "uncultured proteobacterium contains 16S-23S intergenic spacer region". Lineage: Bacteria; Pseudomonadati; Pseudomonadota. The record is from RNAcentral.